This 505-nucleotide ribosomal RNA is filed under the name uncultured bacterium. RNAcentral's name for it is "bacterial SSU rRNA". It matches the Rfam family "Bacterial small subunit ribosomal RNA", at positions 29 to 524 of the family's 1533-position model. The record is from RNAcentral.
AUUGAACGCUGGCGGCGUGCCUAACACAUGCAAGUCGAGCGGUAACAGGUGUAGCAAUACAUGCUGACGAGCGGCGGACGGGUGAGUAACGCUUGGGAAUCUGCCUAUUAGUGGGGGACAACCCGGGGAAACGUCGGGCUAAUACCGCAUACGCUCUACGGAGGAAAGCCGGGGACCGCAAGGCCUGGCGCUAAUAGAUGAGCCCAAGUCGGAUUAGCUAGUUGGUAGGGUAANGGCCUACCAAGGCGACGAUCCAUAACUGGUCUGAGAGGACGGACCAGUCACACCGGAACUGAGACACGGUCCGGACUCCUACGGGAGGCAGCAGUGGGGAAUAUUGGACAAUGGGCGAAAGCCUGAUCCAGCGACGCCGCGUGGGUGAAGAAGGCCUGCGGGUUGUAAAGCCCUUUCAGUGGGGAAGAAAAGCCUCGACCUAACGCGUCGGGGUCUUGACGUAACCCAUAGAAGAAGCACCGGCUAACUCUGUGGCAGCCGCCGCAGUAAC